GGGUCGCUAGCUCAAUUGGCAGAGCUGCGGACUUUUAAUCCGUAGGUUGUGGGUUCGAGUCCCACGCGACCCACCA
RNAcentral lists this transfer RNA (76 nucleotides) under Glycomyces buryatensis. RNAcentral describes it as "Glycomyces sp. 18 tRNA-Lys". It matches the Rfam family "tRNA". From Rfam's summary of the family: Transfer RNA (tRNA) molecules are approximately 80 nucleotides in length. Their secondary structure includes four short double-helical elements and three loops (D, anti-codon, and T loops). The record is from RNAcentral. Lineage: Bacteria; Bacillati; Actinomycetota; Actinomycetes; Glycomycetales; Glycomycetaceae.